UUAGAUACCCUAUUAUUCCAAUUAAGAUAGAAGUUAUUGUAGAUUAGAUGUUUGAUCAUUAAAAUUUAAAUAAUUUGGCGGUAUUUUAAAUAGUCAGAGGAAUUUGUUGAGUAAAUGAUAGUCCACGAUAGGCAGAUCCUAGUGAAGUUUUUAUAUAUUGUUGUUUAAAUAUUAAUUUAAGAGAAAGUUAAUAAAGAUUUUAAGGAUUAAAGAAAAAUUCAAAUCAAAAUGUAGAAUUAUUAGGGUGUUAAUGAAUUACAAUUUAAUUAAAUAUUAGAAUUAAGUUUAAAAAUAUUAAUGAAAGAGGAUUUGAUAGUAAGAUGAUAUGAAUUAUAUGAUUUGAAAGAAUUUUAAAAUAUGUACAAAUUGC
This 370-nucleotide ribosomal RNA is filed under the name Crematogaster ferrarii. RNAcentral describes it as "partial 12S ribosomal RNA". Lineage: Eukaryota; Metazoa; Arthropoda; Insecta; Hymenoptera; Formicidae. The record is from RNAcentral.